Non-coding RNA from Cyanistes caeruleus (blue tit), 1951 nucleotides. NCBI's taxonomy places the organism in Eukaryota, Metazoa, Chordata, Aves, Passeriformes, Paridae. The record is from RefSeq and is a predicted model, not a curated record.
CAGUCCAGUGAAGCCCAGUGUUACAAUUAUCCUACAUCUCAUCAAUUGUUAAUGUGAUUUCUUGGCUAUGAAAACAGUGAAAUGUCAAAUUUAAGCCUCUAUGUUAGACUGAAAUUGUCCUAGAUUUAAGGGAAGUAGAGACUACUUAAAGUAGGGUAAAUUUUUUUACUUACAUAGUGUUUGUCACAGGAGCAGUCUUGGUACAGGCCCAAAAAUAUGUCAGGAUUAGUGUCAGACAGAUCCAUGGAAAACUGAAACCUGCAUAAUAUCAUAAAGGGGUAAACUGGCAGAAGAGGUUCCAUAACCUCCAUUUAGAAAACUUUCCCAUUUCUUCACUCAGAAAAGUAACUUGGAAAAUUAAAAACUUAUAACAAAUACUUGCCAAACUGCACUAGGACCUAAAUGGCCUGUUGUAUUCUGUACUGGUGACUCACAGACAGUAACAACAGCAUGGUGCAAAAUUACUCUAAUUAAAUGCCUCUAAGAAGACUUUGACAUUUUGGUAUGCUUUUCAUCUUGCAGAAGCAACAGACAAUGGUGCCUAAAAAUUAUUUUUUCACACAUUUUUAUUGCUACUGUGUCUGGAAAUGUGUUAAUACUUUUUAAUAACUGUCAUUUAAUUUUAACUGGUUUGCCCAUAUUGAAUGCACAAAAUAUCAUAACUUUAAGAAGUGCCUGCAUAAAGGAUUGAAACUGUAAGGGCUAUGGCCUUUUGUUGUGCAAAUGACCUGUGAAGAAUAUAAUUCCUAGGAGAAGGUGUACAGACUAAAUCCAGGUCCAUUUUUCCAUAAUGGAUACAAAGCAAAUACCUUCAAAGAAAAAAAUAAACAGAAAAUCCUUCACUUGCUCUGCACUCCCAAUACAGGUCUGAGUACAAUUAAAGCACUCUGAAGAAACAAAUAUGAGGAAAAGAGGGGAAAACACCUUUGAGUUUCCUUAGACCAUAAAUACAGUGUGUUUAUACAUUACUGAUCCAUCAAGUUAUAAAUGGGAGUAGUUCCACAAUAGUUACUGCUUCUCCUGAAGGUAGUGCAGGUGUUGUGAUGGCACUCCGUAGCACAGCAGGGACAAGAGUCAGUUCAUCCUAAGAGUUCACAGUAAUCCAUGAGCAAUUGUGACAAAACAGGAAAAUAACCCAGGAAAUGAACUCUGUGAGGAGCUGCUGGCAUUUUGCACGGUGCCUCGUAUCUGUUUACUGCUACCACAGUACUACUUUAGGUUUUUAGACAUUUCUUACAUCUGUCAUUCUGAAAGAUUCUCAGCCACAGUUCAGCCAUCAGCUGCUUCCCUACUACCAUCACUGUUUCCUCUACUGCUGCCUCAAGUCCUUCCAUUGACCCACACAGGCACUUUUUAUGGAGGAAUUACCAACUGGCCCUCUCAGUUCGUAGGUACAUGUGACAUUGCAGCUAAGUUUUUUUGUGGGAAAGGAAAGGGUACAGCAGCUUUGGUUGAUAACCUCUGCGUGACAUCCUCAGUUUGCUCAGCUUUGCCCUUCCCUUGGUGCAGUGUAUGAGAAAUGCCCUGGAUCUACACAGGCAAGGGUUCUGCCAGGUGGGGCACCAAGAACACACAAGGAGACAAAAGAUGAUGGGAUUUUGCUCACAUAAUUAUAGCUCAUCAAAACGGCCCUCAUGAACAAUUCAUUCAUCAGAUUUGACCCUUUAUCUCUUGGAGAAUUAUCUGUGAAUUGAUCAUGGCUUUUAUUAUUUGGUUGAUGAAGAGCUUUUUCCAAACACAUCUGAGCCUGACUGUACUUCUCCAAGACAAUUUCUCAGUUAUUGCAGAAUGGAGAUAUUGAGUCCUGUGGUCUACCUGGAAUUUUGACACUUCCUGAGAAAAGUGCUGUGCCCUCCCUCCUUUCUCCCCAAAGCUAUAAACUCAUUACUCUCUCAAAGAGAGGAAUACUUUCUGAUUUGUUCAAUAAAAUAAGUAACACUAAAAUAAUAUA